This 305-nucleotide ribosomal RNA is filed under the name uncultured bacterium. RNAcentral describes it as "bacterial SSU rRNA". It matches the Rfam family "Bacterial small subunit ribosomal RNA", at positions 334 to 636 of the family's 1533-position model. The record is from RNAcentral.
GUACCCUACGGGGGGCAGCAGUGAGGAACAUUGGUCAAUGGUCGGGAGACUGAACCAGCCAAGCCGCGUGAGGGAUGAAGGUACAGAGUAUCGUAAACCUCUUUUGUCAGGGAACAAAGGCGGGGACGUGUCCCCGGAUGAGUGUACCUGAAGAAAAAGCAUCGGCUAACUCCGUGCCAGCAGCCGCGGUAAUACGGAGGAUGCGAGCGUUAUCCGGAUUUAUUGGGUUUAAAGGGAGCGUAGAUGGGUUGUUAAGUCAGUUGUGAAAGUUUACGGCUCAACCGUAAAAUUGCAAUUGAUACUGG